CUCCUGAAGACACAAGCCCUGCUGGACGGCCUGAGGAGAGCAAGCUCAGAUGGCAUCUUACCUGAUUAUCUUGAUGGCACUUCUGUGUUUUGACCAAGGAAGUGCUCUGCGAUGCUAUACGUGUGUGGGGGACAGGUGCCACGGAAAGGGCCAAAGAUCCACCAACUGUUCAUCCUCCGAUGCCUACUGUGAGACCAUCGUGAUAGCUGCUCAGUUUGAUGCCCACAAGUUUGAAAACGUCAUCCAGAAAUGUUCCUCCACCUGUAAGCCCUCCAACACUACGAUUGGCGUGUUGCAUGUGACAUCGCAGUGUUGUAACAAGACCCUGUGCAACAUCAAUGGAGUGUCCAUUGUGACUGCCAGCCACUGGGCGGUAGCCUUGGCUGUGUUGACCUGCUUUUCCUUCCCUGUCUUCGGGAGUAGGCUCUGAUGUUUUAGCCAAUCAAUGGAUUCAUCAAUCUGGGAGCAUUUAUUGAGCACCAACUGUAUGCCAGUCAAAAUCAAAGUGGAUCUGCUCUUGUGGAGCUUACAUUCAAAUGAGGGUGACAAUAUAAACAUACAUAGAUCAAUACAAAACAUAUAUAGAAAACUGUUUAUUCUUAAAGAACUCAAACCUGUUCCCUGGGGAGUCCCAGGUUAUAUUUACUCAGUACCAUGGAUAUGGGGACUAGGAAACAUCUGGGUUUGGGGCAUCUUGAAGAUAAAACAUCUGGGUGACUAGAAUCUUGUUCUGGAAUUAUGAGCUGCAUUUCCAAACCCUCUCUCAGGGAACUACCCAAUGAGUUAGAGAUACAUUCUACCCUCCCAAUUAGACUCCAAUCAACUUAACUCAAUAGCCAUCUAUUAAGCACCAUCUGUGUCUAGAGUUCUGUGUUCACUAUUGGGGGAGGCAUAAAGCUUAGGUUCCUGCCAGGUGUGAAACUAUCUGGGCACAAGUAGAGCUUUGACCCUGUGUGCUGAAAUCUGGAAGACUAUGUUUCAUCCUUGUGCU
RNAcentral lists this long non-coding RNA (991 nucleotides) under Vombatus ursinus (common wombat). RNAcentral's name for it is "lncRNA (ENSVURG00010018499.1)". Lineage: Eukaryota; Metazoa; Chordata; Mammalia; Diprotodontia; Vombatidae. The record is from RNAcentral.